RNAcentral lists this ribosomal RNA (255 nucleotides) under uncultured bacterium. RNAcentral's name for it is "partial 16S ribosomal RNA". It matches the Rfam family "Bacterial small subunit ribosomal RNA", at positions 333 to 585 of the family's 1533-position model. The record is from RNAcentral.
AUGGGCCUACGGGGGGGAGCAGUGAGGAAUAUUGGUCAGUGGACGAGAGUCUGAAACAGCCAAGUAGCGUGAAGGAUGACUGCCCUAUGGGUUGUAAACUUCUUUUAUAUGGGAAUAAAAUGUUCCACGUGUGGGAUUUUGUAUGCACCAUAUGAAUAAGGAUCGGCUAACUCCGUGCCAGCAGCCGCGGUAAUACAGAGGAUCCGAGCGUUAUCCGGAUUUAUUGGGUUUAAAGGGAGCGUAGGUGGAUUGUUA